GUGGUAGCGGGUCAAGAUNUGUAGAGGAUCUGAAAGGAAUUACCGGGUGGCGAAGGGCGGCCCCCUGGACAGUAUACUUGACACUCAGAUGCCGAAAGCGUUGGGGAGCCAACAGGAUUUAGAUACCCCUGGUAGUCCACGCCGUNAAACGAUGUCUACUUGGAGGUUGUGGGCCUUGAGCCCGUGGCUUUCGGAGCUAACGCGUUAAGUAGACCGCCUGGGGAGUACGGUCGCAAGAUUAAAACUCAAAUGAAUUGACGGGGGCCCGCACAAGCGGUGGAGCAUGUGGUUUAAUUCGAUGCAACGCGAAGAACCUUACCUACUCUUGACAUCUACAGAAGCCAGCGGAGACGCAGGUGUGCCUUCGGGAACUGUAAGACAGGUGCUGCAUGGCUGUCGUCAGCUCGUGUUGUGAAAUGUUGGGUUAAGUCCCGCAACGAGCGCAACCCUUAUCCUUGUUUGCCAGCACUUCGGGUGGGAACUCCAGGGAGACUGCCGGUGAUAAACCGGAGGAAGGUGGGGACGACGUCAAGUCAUCAUGGCCCUUACGAGUAGGGCUACACACGUGCUACAAUGGCGCAUACAGAGGGCGGCCAACUUGCGAAAGUGAGCGAAUCCCAAAAAGUGCGUCGUAGUCCGGAUUGGAGUCUGCAACUCGACUCCAUGAAGUCGGAAUCGCUAGUAAUCGUGGAUCAGAAUGCCACGGUGAAUACGUUCCCGGGCCUUGUACACACCGCCCGUCACACCAUGGGAGUGGGCUGCAAAAGAAGUGGGUAGUUUAACCUUCGGGAGGACGCUCACCACUUUGUGGUUCAUGACUGGGGUGAAGUCGUAACAAGGUAACCG
Molecule: ribosomal RNA, 846 nt
Filed under: uncultured bacterium
Lineage: Bacteria
Description: bacterial SSU rRNA
Rfam family: Bacterial small subunit ribosomal RNA
Source: RNAcentral